This 2851-nucleotide long non-coding RNA is filed under the name Citrus maxima (pomelo). RNAcentral's name for it is "long non-coding RNA (CMAX_LNC003666)". The record is from RNAcentral. Lineage: Eukaryota; Viridiplantae; Streptophyta; Magnoliopsida; Sapindales; Rutaceae.
CGAUAACCAAAUUAUGUUCAACUAAUUUAUGUGGUAGUUUCAAAUUUUUAGUUUGAAAAAAAGCUUUUGCAUAACUUUGAAAUAUGAUAAGCUUUUAAUCAAUUGAAGUGGAACAUAAAAUGCAAAAUUACACUAUCUAUGACAACCGACAAAAGAUUCUAUAUCCAAAGCUACUUGAGUAAUUAAUACCGAACCUUCCUCACACUAACAAAUUGACCCUUGUUACAAAACAGAAGAACGUCGGACAUCAAUAUCAUCAAAUUAAACUAUAAGCACCAUCAGUGCCAAAUUUUGCAGCUACGCUGCUACCUUUAACCAGGGUAAACUCAGGCGGUUCUAUCCUGCAAACCAAAAAUGGAAAUUACAGAAGAAUGAAGCCAAAAAAAAAAAAAUAGAGAGAGAAAGUUACAGGGAGAAAAAUUGAAAGAUGACAGCGUUUUUCUGUCUCUUUUUAAAACUUUAGCUGUUGGGCUUAUUGACCUGUUUAUGCAAGUAUUUUUAAAUAUUUAGUAAAUAAUGAAGGAAUUUUUAAAUAUUAAACUCAUUAAAUUCAUUUAUAAAUCCUUAAUGAAUAUUUCAUUGAAUUUCUUAUGUAAUUAUUCAAAAUCAAGAAGAUAUAUUUACCAGCUCAUCAACCAGCGGACACAGAUUCAUAUAGGCAAUGCCAUGGUCAAGUCAGAAGAAGACCCAAUUCACCUGAAACAUACAUAAUUAUAAAAUAAAUAGAUAAAAUUCAACUUAGGAAACAUAUAUAUAUAUAUAUAUAUAUAUAUAUAUAUUUUGUUUUUUUUUUUGAUUGAAAGUAAUCCUUUCAUAAAUCAGACAACAUUGUUUAAUACAUUCAAUAUAUCUCUGCUGGAAUUUGGUCCAGCCAGAUGGCUGAAGUAUUUGCUCCUACAGCAAGCUUUUCCAGGGAAUGGGCACAAGUGUUACAGGUUCUAGGAAUAUGUCUGAACUUGACCUCUUUAAAAUCUCUUUGUUUCUCCUGGAUGUCCGAGAUAACCCAACUUAUACCUGUUCUACUGCUCUUGGAAUUGUUAAGUAAGUCCACUACUUCGUUGCAAUCAGGAAACACAUAUAUUAUUAUAAAGUAAAUAGAUAAAAUUCAACUUAUGAUAAAUUUGGGGUGUCGCAAUAACGGAAGAUGCCAACAAUCCUCAACUAACCCACUUGAACACACCCUUUUCUCGUCCUCUGACAUACAAGGUUACUGCGGGAUCUCAUAAGGACUUUGGUCUCAAAAGAGCUUGAUAAGCCUCUAGUCUGUGGGGCUGAAUCCAAUUGGGGUUUUUUAAAUUUAUAGAAAACCAGGGUCCAAUUUAACCCAAGAAUUAGUUCAACAAUAAAAAAUUCCUCAAGUUUAUAUUGUUUGCCUAGUUAUUAUUCUCCUUCAAUGUGAGAUAAUAUCAUCAAUAAGAUUCCUAUCUUACGGUGUAGUUCAGAGAUGGUAGGCAAUCUGUGUAAGGGGAUGAAUCCAAUUCGGUGCAAAUCACUUUUAGCCACUUACCUCGACCCCAUCAAGGCAAAUUUUUAGGCAACUUGGGUCUUGCAUUUCUUUGGUGCAAGUCAUUUUUCUUAAUCAAUUGUCUACAUAUACUAUUUACUUUGAAAUAAAUUGAAAUUUCAUUUAACAUAGACAGAUUUGAGUAGGAUUGUACAUCUACUACAAACACACAUCAAAAUAGAUUAACGGAUUAUUUAUUACAAGUAGACAAUGGAUUAAAUAUUUAAAUUACUGUGUUAACAAAUUAUGAGAGGAAAAAAGAUUAUUUGUAAAUCCAAUGUAUAUUCACUCUUCCCUUAGUCCACAAGUAAUUAAAGCUUCAAACAGAUGUAUACAUGUAAUUGCCUGAAGUCUAACAAGAGUCUAAGUUAAUCUACUCAAAAUAAAUUUUUCAAUAGUCAAAUUUUGAUAAAUUGGGAUAUUUAACGCCUUUAUUAAUUGAAAGCUCAUUGUUGGAAUUGGUUGCUGAGUUUCCAUAUAUAAAUUGAACUGUAGUCAUUAAUACACACACAAAUCCUUAUGGUACAGUCAGAUUGAAUCUGUUAUAGACUAAUUAAUUACAAUAUGUUUCUUUUACUAGCUAUAUGAUUGGAUCUUAAUUAAUGACUGAAGAAGAAAUUAUAAGAACCCAUACUAGUAUUAGUGUACUAAUACUUCUCCUAAAGCUAAUAUUAAUCAAACAAAGCAACUUCAGACAUUUUCCACUAAGCUCUAGAUCAGGAUCAAGUCCACAAUUCAAUAUUCCACAUGAUUUUCCCAUUUCAUGAAGUAAUAGGUCCGCCAUUACUAGGUUAUAAGGUAAUAAAAUUAAUUCCUUAACAUGCAUUCUAAAUCAUCCUUAAAUUUUAUAUGUUCGGUUCCAGCUGCAGGCAUAACUUUGGAUGGGCACAUAAAAAAAAUUAAAAAACAAAGACAAAAAAUGAAAAAGAAAGAAAAUAUCUAUCAAACCUCUUCUUCAGGAGAAAUCAAACGGAGGGGCGGCGCUGGUUUUCAAUAAAAUUAAUUCCUUAACAUGCAUUCUAAAUCAUCCUUAAAUUUUAUAUGUUCGGUUCCAGCUGCAGGCAUAACUUUGGAUGGGCACAUAAAAAAAAUUAAAAAACAAAGACAAAAAAUGAAAAAGAAAGAAAAUAUCUAUCAAACCUCUUCUUCAGGAGAAAUCAAACGGAGGGGCGGCGCUGGUUUUCAUCUACCGAUGACUCCAUUGAUAAUCCCUUGAAGUCCCCAACGCUCUAUUUGAAUUUUUUUUUUUGGCUGUGUACAAAGAACUUGAACUCGGGAAGAAGAAGGCCAGGAAACACGUAUAGAUAAGGGAGCAACGUGGUCCAAUUCCGUCUCACGAAGAAAAAC